GGCCACGUGGCAGAAUGGUUAUGCACCCGGGGUUGCAAUCUGGGGAAUGCCGGUCCGAAUCCGGCCGUGGCCUCCA
This 76-nucleotide transfer RNA is filed under the name Alphaproteobacteria bacterium. Its description in RNAcentral is "tRNA-Cys". It matches the Rfam family "tRNA". From Rfam's summary of the family: Transfer RNA (tRNA) molecules are approximately 80 nucleotides in length. Their secondary structure includes four short double-helical elements and three loops (D, anti-codon, and T loops). Further hydrogen bonds mediate the characteristic L-shaped molecular structure. tRNAs have two regions of fundamental functional importance: the anti-codon, which is responsible for specific mRNA codon recognition, and the 3' end, to which the tRNAs corresponding amino acid is attached (by aminoacyl-tRNA synthetases). tRNAs cope with the degeneracy of the genetic code in two manners: having more than one tRNA (with a specific anti-codon) for a particular amino acid; and 'wobble' base-pairing, i.e. permitting non-standard base-pairing at the 3rd anti-codon position. Lineage: Bacteria; Pseudomonadati; Pseudomonadota; Alphaproteobacteria. The record is from RNAcentral.